CCUACGGGGUGCAGCAGUGAGGAAUAUUGGUCAAUGGACGAGAGUCUGAACCAGCCAAGUAGCGUGAAGGAUGACUGCCCUAUGGGUUGUAAACUUCUUUUAUAUGGGAAUAAAAUGUUCCACGUGUGGGAUUUUGUAUGUACCAUAUGAAUAAGGAUCGGCUAACUCCGUGCCAGCAGCCGCGGUAAUACGGAGGAUCCGAGCGUUAUCCGGAUUUAUUGGGUUUAAAGGGAGCGUAGGUGGCUUGUUAAGUCAGUUGUGAAAGUUUGCGGCUCAACCGUAAAAUUGCAGUUGAAACUGGCAGUCUUGAGGACAGUAGAGGUGGGGGGAAUUCGUGGUGGAGCGGUGAAAUGCUUAGAUAUCACGAAGAACUCCGAUUGCGAAGGCAGUUCACUGGAAUGCAACUGACACUGAGGCUUGAAAGUGUGGGUAUCAAACAGGAUUAGAUACCCCAGUAGUC
RNAcentral lists this ribosomal RNA (460 nucleotides) under uncultured bacterium. RNAcentral describes it as "partial 16S ribosomal RNA". It matches the Rfam family "Bacterial small subunit ribosomal RNA", at positions 338 to 795 of the family's 1533-position model. The record is from RNAcentral.